UACAGAGGUGGCAAGCGUUGUUCGGAAUUACUGGGCGUAAAGGGCGCGUAGGCGGCCUUCUAAGUCGGACGUGAAAGCCCCAGGCUUAACCUGGGAACUGCGUCCGAUACUGGGAGGCUUGGAUUCGGGAGAGGGAUGUGGAAUUCCAGGUGUAGCGGUGAAAUGCGUAGAUAUCUGGAGGAAUACCGAUGGCGAAGGCAGCCCCCUGGCCUGAUACUGACACUGAGGUGCGAAAGCAUGGGGAGCAAACAGGAUUAGAUACCCCGGUAGU
Molecule: ribosomal RNA, 271 nt
Filed under: uncultured bacterium
Lineage: Bacteria
Description: partial 16S ribosomal RNA
Rfam family: Bacterial small subunit ribosomal RNA
Source: RNAcentral